CGUGAUGACAACUGGGCCGAUGGGCUG
Molecule: non-coding RNA, 27 nt
Filed under: Mus musculus (house mouse)
Lineage: Eukaryota; Metazoa; Chordata; Mammalia; Rodentia; Muridae
Source: RNAcentral